GUAGUCAUAUGCUUGUCUCAAAGAUUAAGCCAUGCAUGUCUAAGUAUAAGCAAUUAUACAGCGAAACUGCGAAUGGCUCAUUAAAUCAGUUAUCGUCUAUUUGAUAGUACCUUACUACCUGGAUAACCGUGAUAAUUCUAGAGCUAAUACAUGCUAAAAACCCCGACUCACGAAGGGGUGUAUUUAUUAGAUUAAAAGCCAAUGCCCUCCGGGGCUCACUGGUGAUUCAUAAUAACUUGUCGAAUCGCAUGGCCUUGCGCCGGCGAUGGUUCAUUCAAAUUUCUGCCCUAUCAACUUUCGACGGCUGGGUCUUGGCCAGCCAUGGUGACAACGGGUAACGGAGGGUUAGGGUUCGACCCCGGAGAACGAGCCUGAGAAGCGGCUAUUACAUCCAAGGAAGGCAGCAGGCGCGCAAAUUACCCAAUACCGACUCGGUGAGGUAGUGACGAUAAAUACUGAUACAGGGCUCUCUUGGGUCUUGUAAUUGGAAUGAGUAUAAUUUAAAUCCCUUAACGAGGAACAAUUGGGGGGCAAGUCUGGUGCCAGCAGCC
This 551-nucleotide ribosomal RNA is filed under the name uncultured eukaryote. RNAcentral's name for it is "SSU rRNA". It matches the Rfam family "Eukaryotic small subunit ribosomal RNA", at positions 20 to 575 of the family's 1831-position model. The record is from RNAcentral.